RNAcentral lists this ribosomal RNA (343 nucleotides) under Trioza sp. 11 NS05. RNAcentral describes it as "partial 12S ribosomal RNA". The record is from RNAcentral. Lineage: Eukaryota; Metazoa; Arthropoda; Insecta; Hemiptera; Triozidae.
UUUUAAUUUAAAUUUUUGCUGGAGUAGUAAAAGUUAUAAUCUUUAAACUCAAAAAAUUUGGCGGUAUUUUAUCUUUUUAGAGGAACCUGCUUAUUAAUUGAUAUUCCACAACUAUUAUUUACUUUUAUUAUAUUACCUGUAUGCCGCCGUCAUGAGCAUAUUUGGAAGUUCACUUUCUUUGAUUUUUAUUAAAUUUAUGUUAGGUCAAGGUGCAGUAUUUAAAAGAAUAUUGUGGGUUACUUUAUUUAAUAUGAAUGGAUUAAUUAAUAUGGAAUGGUAAAGAAAGAGGAUUUAAAAGUAAAAUUAUUAUAGAAAUAAUAUGAAUUUAGAUUCUAAAAUAUGU